Molecule: ribosomal RNA, 459 nt
Filed under: uncultured bacterium
Lineage: Bacteria
Description: partial 16S ribosomal RNA
Rfam family: Bacterial small subunit ribosomal RNA
Source: RNAcentral
CCUACGGGUGGCAGCAGUGAGGAAUAUUGGUCAAUGGACGAGAGUCUGAACCAGCCAAGUAGCGUGAAGGAUGACUGCCCUAUGGGUUGUAAACUUCUUUUAUAUGGGAAUAAAACGUUCCACGUGUGCGUUUUUGUAUGUACCUUAUGAAUAAGGAUCGGCUAACUCCGUGCCAGCAGCCGCGGUAAUACGGAGGAUGCGAGCGUUAUCCGGAUUUAUUGGGUUUAAAGGGUGCGCAGGCGGAAUGUAAAGUCAGCGGUAAAAUUUCGGGGCUCAACCCCGUCGUGCCGUUGAAACUGGCGUUCUUGAGUGAGCGAGAAGUAUGCGGAAUGCGUGGUGUAGCGGUGAAAUGCAUAGAUAUCACGCAGAACUCCGAUUGCGAAGGCAGCAUACCGGCGCUCAACUGACGCUGAUGCACGAAAGCGUGGGUAUCGAACAGGAUUAGAUACCCCAGUAGUC